CAGAAUGUAGCAGAGGAUAUUUUAAAUGUGUUUUUACCAUUAUCUCAAGUUAAGUUUUUGUUUCUUUCAUACUUCAAAGAGAAAAUUAUUUUGUGAGAGAACUAAUAUUUUGUGAAAUAUCAUGUGUGAAUUUCAUUACGAGUAAUUUUGUGAACUAUUACUAGAUGAAGAGGUAGAGCAAGGAGACGGCCCCAUGCACAAUCAAAUAUCUAGACAAGUUCGGAAGUUCUCGAGAGCAAAUAUUCAUCAUUUCUUCAUACAAAAUGAGAAUAUCUACUACAAAAAAACAAAAAAGAGAU
RNAcentral lists this long non-coding RNA (299 nucleotides) under Capsicum annuum. RNAcentral describes it as "long non-coding RNA (CANN_LNC018264)". The record is from RNAcentral. Lineage: Eukaryota; Viridiplantae; Streptophyta; Magnoliopsida; Solanales; Solanaceae.